CCAGACUCCUACGGGAGGCAGCAGUGGGGGAUAUUGCACAAUGGGGGAAACCCUGAUGCAGCGACGCCGCGUGAGCGAUGAAGUAUCUCGGUAUGUAAAGCUCUAUCAGCAGGGAAGAAAGUGACAGUACCUGACUAAGAAGCCCCGGCUAACUACGUGCCAGCAGCCGCGGUAAUACGUAGGGGGCAAGCGUUAUCCGGAUUCACUGGGUGUAAAGGGAGCGUAGACGGCAGUGCAAGUCUGGAGUGAAAGGCGGGGGCUCAACCCCCGGACUGCUCUGGAAACUGUACGGCUGGAGUGCAGGAGAGGGAAGUGGAAUUCCUAGUGUAGCGGUGAAAUGCGUAGAUAUUAGGAGGAACACCAGUGGCGAAGGCGGCUUACUGGACUGUAACUGACGUUGAGGCUCGAAAGCGUGGGGAGCAAACAGGAUUAGAUACCCCCGUACAU
RNAcentral lists this ribosomal RNA (447 nucleotides) under uncultured bacterium. RNAcentral's name for it is "partial 16S ribosomal RNA". It matches the Rfam family "Bacterial small subunit ribosomal RNA", at positions 331 to 794 of the family's 1533-position model. The record is from RNAcentral.